AGUGAACGCUGGCGGUAGGCCUAACACAUGCAAGUCGAACGGCAGCACAGGAGAGCUUGCUCUCUGGGUGGCGAGUGGCGGACGGGUGAGGAAUACAUCGGAAUCUACUCUGUCGUGGGGGAUAACAUAGGGAAACUUACGCUAAUACCGCAUACGACCUACGGGUGAAAGCAGGGGAUCUUCGGACCUUGCGCGAUCGAAUGAGCCGAUGUCGGAUUAGCUAGUUGGCGGGGUAAAGGCCCACCAAGGCGACGAUCCGUAGCUGGUCUGAGAGGAUGGUCAGCCACAGUGGAACUGAGACACGGUCCAGACUCCUACGGGAGGCAGCAGUGGGGAAUAUUGGACAAUGGGCGCAAGCCUGAUCCAGCCAUACCGCGUGGGUGAAGAAGGCCUUCGGGUUGUAAAGCCCUUUUGUUGGGAAAGAAAUCCAGCUGGCUAAUACCCGGUUGGGAUGACGGUACCCAAAGAGUAAGCACCGGCUAACUUCGUGCCAGCAGCCGCCGUAA
This 506-nucleotide ribosomal RNA is filed under the name uncultured bacterium. RNAcentral's name for it is "partial 16S ribosomal RNA". It matches the Rfam family "Bacterial small subunit ribosomal RNA", at positions 29 to 523 of the family's 1533-position model. The record is from RNAcentral.